CCGUCUUCUCCCCCUCCCCCUCUGCGAAAAAAGUUAAUUGUUUCCUAUAUACUAUUAUUGUUUUAACUAAUUAUUCCUAACUAGAAAUAAACCUGACUUUGAGUUUGUUCUUUACAGGUUGUUUUGAAUUGGUUGAUAAAUCUCACAAGGACCCAUAUGAUCCAAUGGUGCCUCCUGAAAUUAUAGAUUUGAUUGACAAAACGUUCUUAUUCGAGAUUGAAGUUGACAACGAUUCCAAUUCCAGGUUCAAGUCAUCCUAUAAGGACCUGAAUGAAGAAUUUAUUGUCGAGUAGUUGUUGAUCUUCGCAAAGACACUCAGGUCUAUACACCCCUAAUUAAUUCUAUUGUACCUACUGGAAAGGUGUUAGACUCUUCUAAUUCAAAUAUUACGUCUAUUUCUCCUGUUGUUGACUUGAGUUCGGAUACUCAGCGAAUCUCUCAUGUCCCUUCUGAUCCAACUCCAAAAGUUAAAAUUGUUGGAGAUAAGUCUGCAAAACUUGGUAUGACCUUAAAAGAGAUUGAACCUGCUGGUGAAUUGGACAUCAAUAAGUCUGCUGAUUCUGAUGGUUCCAGUGGCGAGCAAUCUCCUCGAGCUACUGCUGUUCCUCUUGCUUGCAUUAGUUCAACUAAAAAAUCUACUAAAACAUAUUUGAAGUCUAAGGAAAAGAUGAAGAGUGUUGGUGUUGAAUCUGCUAAAGCUAUCCAAGUUGCUGAAACUGCUAAAGAGACUGAAGUGGAUGUAUCUUUUGAAAGCCAGAUUUCCCCUCCUUCCAAGCGUCCAUCCCCCUGAUGCCGAAGUUGUUGGAGUCUCAGUUGCUGGCAAGAAACCCCUGAAAGCAAUGAAAAAGGAGAAGAUCUGAAGACUGUUUUUUGUUGUGUUGGCUGUUUUGAUGUUUUGUUAUUGUGGUUGUCUUUUCAAGCUGUUAAGUGUGUUGUUUUGUAGUCCUGGAUGUUAGUUAGUUCGUCAGUGUGGUGUUUUCCAUUUUUUCAGUUUCAUUUCAAUCUUAAUGUUUAAUCUGCCUAUUAUUAGUAUGUUUUGGGAUGGCAGAUUAGUUUAUUUAGGUCUCUGUUUCGUUGUCUUUUGGUCCGAACGAAAAUGAAUUGUCUCAGUGCAUGAUUUAAUCUAUACAA
Lotus japonicus is the source of this 1131-nucleotide long non-coding RNA. RefSeq lists it as uncharacterized. The transcript has 5 exons. The record is from RefSeq and is a predicted model, not a curated record. NCBI's taxonomy places the organism in Eukaryota, Viridiplantae, Streptophyta, Magnoliopsida, Fabales, Fabaceae.